UACGCUGGCGGCACGCCUAACACAUGCAAGUCGAACGCAGUAGCAAUACUGAGUGGCAAACGGGUGAGUAUAAUGUGGGAAUCUGCCUUUUGGUUUGGAAUAACACGGGGAAACUUGUGCUAAUACCAAAUAAGCCUUUACAGGGAAAGUUUUAACGCCGAAAGAUGAGCCCGCACUUGAUUAGCUAGUUGGUAAGGUAAAAGCUUACCAAGGCAAUGAUCAAUAGCUGUUCUUAGAGGAAGACCAGCCACAUUGGGACUGAGACACGGCCCAGACUCCUACGGGAGGCAGCAGUGGGGAAUCUUGCACAAUGGGGGAAACCCUGAUGCAGCGAUGCCGCGUGAGUGAAGAAGGCCCUUGGGUUGUAAAACUCUUUCGUCGGGGAAGAAAAUGACUGUACCCGAAUAAGAAGGUCCGGCUA
RNAcentral lists this ribosomal RNA (421 nucleotides) under uncultured bacterium. RNAcentral describes it as "bacterial SSU rRNA". It matches the Rfam family "Bacterial small subunit ribosomal RNA", at positions 33 to 499 of the family's 1533-position model. The record is from RNAcentral.